RNAcentral lists this ribosomal RNA (311 nucleotides) under uncultured bacterium. RNAcentral describes it as "bacterial SSU rRNA". It matches the Rfam family "Bacterial small subunit ribosomal RNA", at positions 28 to 327 of the family's 1533-position model. The record is from RNAcentral.
GAUGAACGCUGGCGGCGUGCCUAACACAUGCAAGUCGAACGAAGCACUUCGAUUUCCUCGGAAUGAAAAAGUGACUGAGUGGCGGACGGGUGAGUAACGCGUGGGUAACCCUGCCUCAGUACAGGGGGAUAACAGUUAGAAAUGGCUGCUAAUACCGCAUAAGCGCACAGUACCGCAUGGUACCGUGUGAAAAACUCCGGUGGUAUGAGAUGGACCCGCGUCUGAUUAGCUAGUUGGUAAGGUAACGGCUUACCAAGGCGACGAUCAGUAGCCGGCCUGAGAGGUGAUCGGCCACAUUGGGACUGAGACAC